This 492-nucleotide ribosomal RNA is filed under the name uncultured bacterium. RNAcentral describes it as "partial 16S ribosomal RNA". It matches the Rfam family "Bacterial small subunit ribosomal RNA", at positions 29 to 507 of the family's 1533-position model. The record is from RNAcentral.
AGUGAACGCUGGCGGUAGGCCUAACACAUGCAAGUCGAACGGCAGCACAGUAAGAGCUUGCUCUUACGGGUGGCGAGUGGCGGACGGGUGAGGAAUACAUCGGAAUCUACUUUUUCGUGGGGGAUAACGUAGGGAAACUUACGCUAAUACCGCAUACGACCUACGGGUGAAAGCAGGGGAUCUUCGGACCUUGCGCGAUUGAAUGAGCCGAUGUCGGAUUAGCUAGUUGGCGGGGUAAAGGCCCACCAAGGCGACGAUCCGUAGCUGGUCUGAGAGGAUGUUCCGCCACACUGGAACUGAGACACGGUCCAGACUCCUACGGGAGGCAGCAGUGGGGAAUAUUGGACAAUGGGCGCAAGCCUGAUCCAGCCAUACCGCGUGGGUGAAGAAGGCCUUCGUGUUGUAAAGCCCUUUUGUUGGGAAAGAAAAGCAGCAGGUUAAUACCCCGCUGUUCUGACGGUACCCAAAGAAUAAGCACCGGCUAACUUCGUG